AUGAAAAGGCCCAAGCUUGGGGAUGCUAUGUUUGACAAAGAUGAUGUUUCUGAGAAUAUAUUUGCUGCAAUUAAUGAAGAUGAUAUUUUUAGUCUCCCAAGUUUUGAUAUGCAAAUGUAUAUUGAUGAUAGCAUGCCUCCUUCUUAUGAUGAUUAUAUUGAUGAAAGUGGGUUUGGAAGAGUGUCAACUUUAGGAAGUAACGAUCCCACUAUUUUGGAAGUUGUUGAAUCUUAUUAUGAUAAUUAUGAAAGUGUAUUUGGAGAGGUCAUGACUUUAUUUAGUGAUGAUUCCACUAUCUUGGAAGAGGUUUCAAUAGAUUAUGAUGAGAACAAAGUUGCUACUUAUGAUGAUUAUUAUGAUCACAUGUAUGCUAUAAAAAGUAGUGAUGAUUAUAUUUAUAAAACUUGUCGUGAUUAUGAUUACCAUUUUUCUGAACAUUACUCUUUUAAUGUGGGAACAAUUUAUAGUAUUCGAGUUUCUUAUGAUACUUCCACUAUUCCGAAUGAGAAGAAUCUUGCUUAUGUGGAGAGUAGUAAAUUUUCUAUGCUUGUAGAUCAUGAAAAGAAUGCUUUAGGUGCUGGUUAUAUUGUUGAAUUCAUUCAUGAUGCUACUGAAAAUUAUUAUGAGGGAUGA
RNAcentral lists this ribosomal RNA (633 nucleotides) under Triticum aestivum (bread wheat). RNAcentral's name for it is "partial small subunit ribosomal RNA". The record is from RNAcentral. Lineage: Eukaryota; Viridiplantae; Streptophyta; Magnoliopsida; Poales; Poaceae.